AUUGAACGCUGGCGGCAAGCCUAACACAUGCACGUCGAACGAGUGGCGGACGGGUGAGUAAUGUCUGGGAAACUGCCUGAUGGAGGGGGAUAACUACUGGAAACGGUAGCUAAUACCGCAUACCAUCGGAUGUGCCCAGAUGGGAUUAGCUAGUAGGUGGGGUAAAGGCUCACCUAGGCGACGAUCCCUAGCUGGUCUGAGAGGAUGACCAGCCAAACGGGAACUGAGACACGGUCCAGACUCCGACGCGAGGCAGCAGUGGGGAAGAGUGCACAAUGGGCGCAAGCCGGAUGCAGCCAGGCCGGGGGUAGGAAGAAGGCCUGCGGGUGGUAAAGUAAUUUCAGCGGGGAGGCGUUACCCGCAGAAGAAGCACCGGCUAACUCCGUGCCAGCAGCCGCGGUAAGAC
This 406-nucleotide ribosomal RNA is filed under the name uncultured bacterium. Its description in RNAcentral is "partial 16S ribosomal RNA". It matches the Rfam family "Bacterial small subunit ribosomal RNA", at positions 29 to 526 of the family's 1533-position model. The record is from RNAcentral.